RNAcentral lists this unclassified non-coding RNA (2536 nucleotides) under Hevea brasiliensis (rubber tree). The record is from RNAcentral. Lineage: Eukaryota; Viridiplantae; Streptophyta; Magnoliopsida; Malpighiales; Euphorbiaceae.
AUAAUAAUAAUAAUAAUAAUAACAUUUUGAAAAAAAAUAUUAUUUUCUAAUUUUUAUAAUAAAAAUGUAUCACAUUUAUAUUUAUUAAAAAAAUCAAUUUUUAUUAGAUUUUUUAUUUUUAUGAGUCGGUCUAUCUAUCUAUGAGAAAUUAAUUUAAAUAUGUUGAUAUUAAAUUUUACUAAUUUGUAUUAAUAAAAUUUAUUAGAUUAUGAAAGAAAUUGCCCUUAAAUCAAUAUAUUCUAAAAGAUCACAGCCUAAAAUCUACAUACCGAAACUCAGGAGAUUUUGCAUCUUGUAAGGGUAACUAAAGCAUCAAAGAAGAAAAGAAAGAAAAAUCUGAAAUUUCCACAGAGAUGAACUCACUCAAACUAACAAUACCCACCUAACAUGUCUCUUUGGGGCUCUGUUGCAGACAUAAAAGGCGAACAAGGUACAAAUAAAGGUGGGAAAAUAAAGAUAGGGCUGUCUAACUACCAUUUUAUGUGUUACUUUAAGUCACACACAGCAGAUGGGACAACCUUUUUUUUUUUUGUUCUGAGGGUUGGUUUUUGCCAUGAAAGCUUUGGUACUACUACCUCAGUAUAAUGAAAAAACAGUGUCCAGUACCGACAGGGUUCACAGAAGUGACCCAUCUCUCUAUUGCCUUCAUCAUCACCUUUCUAUGUCAAUUAACCCAAUUUUUCUUUAUUUCUUUUCAUUCUACCCUCCUUAAUAUCAUCGAUAUGUCCAUUUCAUAAAAUAUUUAAUACUUCGAGCUGUUGCUUAUCAUCCCAUGUCCCACCAAAUGUUCAAAACCUAGCCAUACCCUUUACGAUUUUGAUCCAUUCUUUAUUCUUCUAAAACGUGUUUAUCGGUUUUCUAUCUCUGGUCUUAAACUUGCCACAUCCCUUUAUGCUUACCAUGUAAAAUUCUUUCUAUUUUGCACUCGCAGAGACUUGGUCUAAUGAUAAUAAGUGCAAUUCUCAACUUGACAAGAUAUAUAUCAAGAUAUGUAUGUGUGUGUGUGUGCGCAUUGAAGUUUGGCACUUAAUUAAGCUGUUUGUGGGUACCUGCAAUUGCCAUGGAAAUAUCAUUUUCUUUCUGCAAUUUUAAUUUUUAUCUGCAGAAGAGACAUAAGAACCUUAUCAUCACCUGAUCUUUUUCAUCUCCGCUUCAACAUUUGCACUGGAUCAUAACCCACCUUUCUCGUCGAUCCACUUGUCUUGACAAGAGAUAGAUUAUAUACACGUGUUUAUCUGUAGACCUUCAUGAACUGUUAACUGAUACCCAGUUUGAAUAUCUACAUAUUCCGCACACGUGUGACUAAUUCUGAAGGUAGACAGAGAAUACUGAACAUGAUUUUGUUUAUAUACUAAGAACCUCCAUUGAAAAUGAAUAUGUAGAAGAUGGAUGGAUCUCUUACUAUAUUUUGAAAUUUCACAAGAAGACAAUAUACUAUACACACUUCGUAAUUUUUAAUUACUUUUAAUUGUAGUUAAUUAGUUAAUUAAUCCUCAUUCAAGAGCAAGUGAAUCAUUUCAUUUACACAAGAAAUUAAUUAAUUAUACUAGACUGAAGAUGAAGAGACUAAUGGGUGUUCUUAGAAUCAUCUCAUUUGCACGAUUAAAAAGAUUAACUAAUUAGCAGCUAAAGAAAAUCUGACUUUCUCAUUUGUUCAAGUUAUAUUUAUCGAAUUACAGAUGAAGAUCUAAACUCACAUGGUCUUGGACGCUUGGCUUGGACUCGUAUCCAUAUCGCCCCUGCGAGCUAGAGCCACUCACCUGCGAGGGCUUCAACUCUUCGCCUGCAAAUAAAGGCAAGGGAUGCACAGAACGGUCUCGAUGAAGAGUAGCACUACCAUGAACGGCUGGGAUCCGCCACAAGCCGAGUGGACUCCCAUUGAUGGGUUGCUGAGAGUAGGAGCCAUGGCUACCAUAAAACCUAGAAUUAUUAGGGUGGCUAUUCCAUGAAGGAUAAGACAUGGGUGGGUUAGGAGUUGAGCCUAUCCUGUAGUUCAUCAGCCCAUAAAUAUGAGCAUCAGAGAGGCUGUUGUGAACCAUGGCCGACUGAAGAUGAGCCCUUUUUGCGUGCUGGCGCUCUCUUUUGUGUGCGUUUUGAUGGCCACCCAAGGCUUGAGAAGUAGGGAAAUUUCUACAACAGUAAUGACACUCAAAUCUUCUAUUGUUAUCUCCGCUAGUCUCGCUUUCUUUUGCAGUACUGUCUUCAUUGGUUUCGGCAGACGCAGACUCAUCAGCCGCCGCACUAGUGUCAUUGCCUCCAAAUUCUAUGCCAAAGAGACGAAUGCCCUUUUCUUUGACGGGUGCAGGACGGAUAAAAGGAAGCUGAGAGAAGGAUUCCACGUUCAUGAAGUCAUGAGUCUCUCUUUCACUCUUAUCCAUCAAGAAAAUUGAGUAAUUUAUACUAGCUAGCUCUAGAUUAUGUUCUAGUGUUUAAGCAGGAGAUCAAGGUGGAGCUAGGGUGAGGAGGAGAAGGCGGCGGUGGUGGUGGUGGAGGAGAAAUUGAUGAGAUAGGGAGAUGGAGGAGGAGGAGGAGGAGA